RNAcentral lists this ribosomal RNA (410 nucleotides) under Plasmodium ovale curtisi. Its description in RNAcentral is "partial small subunit ribosomal RNA". It matches the Rfam family "Eukaryotic small subunit ribosomal RNA", at positions 1046 to 1436 of the family's 1831-position model. The record is from RNAcentral. Lineage: Eukaryota; Apicomplexa; Aconoidasida; Haemosporida; Plasmodiidae.
UUUUUAAAUAAGAAAAUUCCUUUCGGGGAAAUUUCUUAGAUUGCUUCCUUCAGUACCUUAUGAGAAAUCAAAGUCUUUGGGUUCUGGGGCGAGUAUUCGCGCAAGCGAGAAAGUUAAAAGAAUUGACGGAAGGGCACCACCAGGCGUGGAGCUUGCGGCUUAAUUUGACUCAACACGGGGAAACUCACUAGUUUAAGACAAGAGUAGGAUUGACAGAUUAAUAGCUCUUUCUUGAUUUCUUGGAUGGUGAUGCAUGGCCGUUUUUAGUUCGUGAAUAUGAUUUGUCUGGUUAAUUCCGAUAACGAACGAGAUCUUAACCUGCUAAUUAGCGGCGAAUACGUUAUAUUCUUAUGUGAAAUUGAAUAUAGCUGAAUUUGCUUAUUUUGAAGAAUACACUAGGAUACAAUUAU